RNAcentral lists this ribosomal RNA (253 nucleotides) under uncultured bacterium. Its description in RNAcentral is "partial 16S ribosomal RNA". It matches the Rfam family "Bacterial small subunit ribosomal RNA", at positions 524 to 776 of the family's 1533-position model. The record is from RNAcentral.
UACGGAGGGCGCAAGCGUUGUUCGGAAUUACUGGGCGUAAAGAGCGUGUAGGCGGCUGAUCAAGUCGGGUGUGAAAGCCCGGGGCUUACCCCCGGAAGUGCGCUCGAAACUGGUCAGCUAGAGUAUGGGAGAGGGAAGUGGAAUUCCUGGUGUAGCGGUGAAAUGCGUAGAUAUCAGGAGGAACACCGGCGGCGAAGGCGGCUUCCUGGACCAAUACUGACGCUGAGACGCGAAAGCGUGGGGAGCAAACAGG